Anas platyrhynchos (mallard) is the source of this 2052-nucleotide non-coding RNA. The record is from RefSeq and is a predicted model, not a curated record. NCBI's taxonomy places the organism in Eukaryota, Metazoa, Chordata, Aves, Anseriformes, Anatidae.
GCAUACUACAGACGGGGCUGGUUGCCUAUUAUUAAGGUUGUCUGACACUUCCCAUUACAAGACUCUGUUUUCAGUUGCUCAGAGCUUUGCCAGGCCUUAACCAUUUGGAUUUAAAUUUUUCAUGCUGAGUGUCUGCCUCAGGCUGAAUAAUUUUAGAAAAUGUCAGGCAAAAUCAGAAAAAUGCAUAAAAAUUCUGACAACCUUUAUUUGAACAACUCUUUUGCCCCCUGUACUAUGCAGAAAGGGCCUGACAUCUGGCAAACAGACUGACCUUUGAGUCAAGGAUGAAAAUGCAGUGAAAGUCUUUAUGAAAACUUGCCGAAUCCCAAACUUACUAAGGUCUCAAACUUUUUCCCAAGCUGCAAAGUGCAUGGCUCAGGUGAGAUUUUGAUUGCAUCUACACUGGAUUCUGCUGUUGCAGGGUCCAAAAAUGUUCAUUGUCAUCACUGAAUAAAGAAAAACAACCCUACUUUUUUCUGUCAUUCUCAAGUCUGUAUGUACCUCUCUUUGACUUUACUUAAGCUAUGAUUGUUCCUUUUCCAUCCAUAUGGCCAGAGAGAAUUAUUUUUAUUAUUUUCAUUAUUAACCAUUUGAGAUGAUCCAUGCCUCACUCCCAGUUCUCACAUUAUUCCUGCAUUACUUGUUUACUAAGCUAAAGUUAUUGUCCUCCAUUCUGUAAGCAGUCUAUUAACUCCUAACAGUCAAGUCUGACGUUCCAAUUUAAGCCCUGACAACACAAUUCAGUUUUCAGCCCUGAUAAUGAAACUCAGCAGAGCAGAGUCCCCUAACAGUAACUUUAUAUUAGUUAGCAUAGCACUUAAUAAAAUGCUUAAAGUACCAUUUAUAUAAAUCGUCCUGCAGGCAUCUGAAGCAAAUAUGGCAUGAAGGACAAGAGAUCAUAGUGGUAAGCCACUUAAGUGGCCUUCUUAUAAAAUGGCAUUUUUGAGUAGGAAAAAGAGUGUCACACUUCUAUGGCAUCCUUUUGCCAUGUGGAAAAUUGUUGUAUUCCUGAGAUACCCCUUGAUUUUCCAGAUCUUGCAAUACUCCUGAAGUACAGAUGAAGUUCAAUAAUAAAUUCAGCUCUUUUGUGUAAAUCUCUGAGCUGGACAAAUUGCAAGUGAUGGAAGUAAAAGUCUCCCAGCAAUCAGUUACGAAAAGGAUGAUGAUUACAGCUGAGAUUCCUCCUCUAUGAGAAAACCAUCCCUUGGCCGACGGCACGGCUGCAUCUUGAAACAUCAAACACGGUGUUUAUGCAAAUCUCAGUGUUCUGCUUGUUCUGCUGCAAAAGCCAUUUUCGCAGUGACACAGAAGGAAAUCCAGUGAGACAAGGCCUGGGCCUGGAGGAGGUGAACUACCUGAGACCUACCAUGAACUACCUGAGCUGCCAUAUUCACAGGAGAUGUGAUGAAAAUCAGGCCGGCUCUUAUGAGCAGCUUAUAACUGUAUCUACACGUGUGCAUUUUUGUAAAUAUUUUAAAGACAGAGAUAGAGAGAGAGAACUCUAAAAAACAGCUCUUUCUGUGUCUUGGGACAAUAAUGGCUGAAUUUACAAUGAAACAGUGAUUGAUCUAAACAUGAUGUAAAAUAAAAUAUUGACCAUUCUAAUAAAAAAUGUUCCUAAGUCUCAGCAGGUUGCUUGGUUGCUUUCAGGUUGUAGUUCUCUGUCUCAGCCACAAUCUAGACUGCCUUGCUUAGUUUAGAGCUACAUCAAAUUACAGGGAAUGUGUUGUUGGCAAAAUCCUACUUGGAUCCCCAAUGCUAUUUUGUUUUUAAACAGCUUUUUGUUGCUUUCAGUUCUUUUUGUUGCUGUGUUCAAAUGUUAAUAUGGAUUCUCAGAUGACCAGGGAGAGUUGGAGACAAAAGAAAAAUUCCAUCAGAAUUAUAAAAGAAUCUGAUAUAUAAAGAGGCAAUUUUCCAUGGCAUUUGUAUUAAGUGAAUUAAGUAAAUUAAUCAUGGUCAACACUGUGUAACUGUGUCAUAGACCACUGGCUAAGAGCCUAAUCAGAAAACAAUAUACAGCUGAGUAAUAAAAUGGAGUAAUUAUUGCUUUGA